UUUAGAAUACAAACAAUUAAAAGAGCUAAAAACUUGGUUUAGACAGCUCGCCGAUCUGUUAAUUUCCUCUGAGCAGGGUAUAGAAGAAUUUGUAGCUUGUAACAGUCGAGGGCUCUACUACGAUAUCCGCCUGGCCUCUAUAGCAGCCUUCCUUGAUGAUAUCCCUCUAUUUUUAAACCACACGGAUCGCGCACGUAUGCGCCUGAAGGAUCAUUUCAAUUAUAAAGGCGUCAUGCCAUUAGAAAGCCUCCGCGUUUCACCUCUACAUCACAUAAUGUUUGCAUUACAAGGAUGGUUUACUAUGGCUAGAAUCUGUGAAAACACUAAUAUUAACUUUUUACACUUUCGGCCGAAAAGCAAAAAUCCGAAACAAAAUUCAUUUCCUCUUCUAAAAAGCUCUGUGCUUCAGUACAUAUGGUUUUUCAACUCGACUUGGUAUGAUAAGCGAACUAGCCAUGAAGAUGACGAGAGGAUGCUUUCACUGUUCUACACGGCUUUGUCUGCCUAUCCCGAGCUUAAAGACGCAGUAAGCCACUCUUAUAAAACACUCUGAAACAUUUGUACGACGCCGAACCACUCUUCAAUUCUUCUACUGGAAUCGCCCCCUAUUGGAACC
Molecule: long non-coding RNA, 616 nt
Organism: Zophobas morio
Lineage: Eukaryota; Metazoa; Arthropoda; Insecta; Coleoptera; Tenebrionidae
Exons: 3
Source: RefSeq, a predicted model, not a curated record